UAAAACUCAAAUGAAUUGACGGGGGCCCGCACAAGCGGUGGAGCAUGUGGUUUAAUUCGAAGCAACGCGAAGAACCUUACCUACUCUUGACAUCCAGUGAACUUAGCAGAGAUGCUUUGGUGCCUUCGGGAACACUGAGACAGGUGCUGCAUGGCUGUCGUCAGCUCGUGUUGUGAAAUGUUGGGUUAAGUCCCGUAACGAGCGCAACCCUUGUCCUUAGUUACCAUCAUUAAGUUGGGGACUCUAAGGAGACUGCCGGUGACAAACCGGAGGAAGGCGGGGACGACGUCAAGUCAUCAUGGCCCUUACGAGUAGGGCUACACACGUGCUACAAUGGCCAGUACAGAGGGUUGCAAUACCGCGAGGUGGAGCUAAUCCCACAAAGCUGGUAGUAGUCCGGAUUGGAGUCUGCAACUCGACUCCAUGAAGUCGGAAUCGCUAGUAAUCGUGAAUCAGAAUGUCACGGUGAAUACGUUCCCGGGCCUUGUACACACCGCCCGUCACGCCAUGGGAGUGGGUUGCUCCAGAAGUAGAUAGCCUAACCUUCGGGAGGGCGUUUAC
RNAcentral lists this ribosomal RNA (561 nucleotides) under uncultured bacterium. RNAcentral's name for it is "bacterial SSU rRNA". It matches the Rfam family "Bacterial small subunit ribosomal RNA", at positions 895 to 1457 of the family's 1533-position model. The record is from RNAcentral.